ACCUACGGGACGCAGCAGUAGGGAAUUUUCGUCAAUGGGCGCAAGCCUGAACGAGCAAUGCCGCGUGAACGAGGAAGGUCUUCGGAUCGUAAAGUUCUGUUGAAGGGGAAAAAGAGCGGAGAGAGGAAAUGGUCUCCGAUUGAUAUUACCCUUCGAGGAAGUCACGGCUAACUACGUGCCAGCAGCCGCGGUAAUACGUAGGUGGCGAGCGUUAUCCGGAAUGAUUGGGCGUAAAGGGUGCGUAGGCGGCCUGCUAAGUCUGGAGUGAAAGCCCGUGGCUCAACCGCGGAACUGCUUUGGAAACU
Molecule: ribosomal RNA, 305 nt
Filed under: uncultured bacterium
Lineage: Bacteria
Description: bacterial SSU rRNA
Rfam family: Bacterial small subunit ribosomal RNA
Source: RNAcentral